Molecule: ribosomal RNA, 388 nt
Filed under: uncultured eukaryote
Lineage: Eukaryota
Description: partial 18S ribosomal RNA
Rfam family: Eukaryotic small subunit ribosomal RNA
Source: RNAcentral
CAAUAGCGUAUAUUAAAGUUGUUGCAGUUAAAAAGCUCGUAGUUGGAUUUCUGAUCGAGACAUCAGGUCGGGUCCGAGAGGAUCAUGUACUUUGAUUUUGUUUUGAUCAUCCUUGGGGAGAGCAUUUCUGGCAUUCAGUUGUCGGGAUUGGGAUCCUCAUCGUUUACUGUGAAAAAAUUAGAGUGUUCAAAGCAGGCCUCGGCCUCUGAAUACAUUAGCAUGGAAUAAUAAGAUAGGACUUUGGUGGUCUAUUUUGUUGGUUUGCACGCCAAAGUAAUGAUUAAUAGGGAUAGUUGGGGGUAUUCGUAUUCAAUUGUCAGAGGUGAAAUUCCUGGAUUUAUGGAAGACGAACUACUGCGAAAGCAUUUACCAAGGAUGUUUUCAUUAA